GGAGCGCGAGCGAAGAUGGCGCCUGCUAGCGUCCGCGUGGAGAGUGUUCGGUCCAGCCGCCGCCCGGAAGUGGAAGUAUGUGUUGAAUUGCAGGCCUGCCCCCUCGGACCAUGGAUUUCAUAGAAGCAGCAACAAAUGAGAGUUCCUGCUAUUCCACAUCUUCACCAGUAUUUGCUGUUGUCGGUGUUCUAGAUUUUGGUCACUCUAAUAGGCUAUGGAGUUUGGAGUAGCCUUUGAACUCAGCUAUAUUUUAGUGGUAUCCUUCAUUUUGUGAUAGCUUACUUUGUGGAAUUUUAUCUCUCUGUAGUGGGGCAUUUGAAUAGUUGUAUGUUAAAGAUUAUAUUUGAAAUUUAUACUUCUUGCCCGAUUUUCAUCAUCAAAUAUUUACUUUGGUAUUUAUAUUAUUGGUUAUGAGGUCCCAUAGAGCUGAGUGCAUGGUUCUUGGCAGAAAAUUUUGGUUGAAGAGAUGUGUGCUGGAAUGGAUUUAUGAUUACUUGUAAAGAUAAACAGAAAAAAUCUGGAAACGGAUAUAAAUUACAGUGUUCUCUUUAGACAUUAAUACAAGAACUCUCCUUUGUCUUUUGUUGUACCCACCUGAUAUAUUUCUUUGGCAUUAAUUAUUCCUACCCCAAGUAGAUGUUGGCAACAUAGUGGUCAAGAGCUCAGUCCUUUGGGUUCAGAUAUGCUAAUCACUAGCUAGAUUUCAUAAUCUGUGUAAGCUGCAGAUUUUUAAUAAAAAAAAACUUUUAAUACCUUGCUGGGUGUCUAGAGUUGAUGAUAUAAUGCAUAUGAAGCUCUUGGACAUAGCAAACAUGUACUUGUUAUUUUAGGGGUUGCCAUUGUAUAUGUCAGUGCUUCAUCAGAAUUUUCAUGGCUCAGCCAAAUGGUACCUUUAAAAAUUUUUUUUAAUGUUUAUUUAUAUUUGAGAGAGAGACAGAGCAGAGGGGCAGAGGGGCAGAGAGAGAGGGAGACAUAGAAUCCGAAGCAGGCUCUAGGAUCUGAGCUGUCAGCACAGAGCCUGAUGCAGGUCUUGAACGCACAAACUGUGAGAUCAUGACCUGAGCCAAAGUCAGAUGCUUAACUGACUGAGCCACUCAAUUGCCCCCAAAUGGUACCUUUUUAAUUAAAGGCACACCUCUUAAUGGUUCUCUUUUCAUAGUUACUAAAAUGUUUCCAAAAAUCUUAGAAAUAUUUAUUUUCAGAAUACUCAUGCACACACAUAUGAAAAAAAUUAAUACUAUUGGGGAGCCUUGAUGUGGCACUACUGGUCCAUUCUCUUAGAAAUAUCUGUCAGGUGCUUUUCAUGAAAUACAUAUUUUAAAUCUUACAAUAAUCUGCAAGGUAGAUGUUAUUAGUAUUCCCAUUUUAUUGAUGAGAAAAGGAAGACUUAUUGAGGUCAAAUAUCUUUCCCAAUGUCAGAGAGGUAAAAAUUGUGCAUUCUGGCAUGUAUCCAUUGUACAAAGUCUGGGAUUUUGUGUGUGUGUGUGUGUGUGUGUGUGUGUGUGUGUGUGUGCUUUUUUAGUUGCAUUAAAGAAAAAAUCACAGCCAGUUUUGAAUUAAAAAAUACCAGGAGUGACAACUAUGCACUCCUAACUUCUGACAACUCUAUGUUAAGCAUGUUUAUUGAUCCAAAAUAUUUGAAUGCAAGUCAGAUGACGUACAUGUGAAAACAAUCCUUCAUCAAUUUUGAGAAUAUAAACAUUCCUCUGAAGAGGGGGAGGGGAAACUACAUUUUCAAAAUUUAACUACUUCCUUUAAGGCAUACUGGAAUUUUCUUCCUUGGUUUCUUUUGCUCACUCACUAAAAUGUUACUAGGUUGAAUAUCAUUCAAAUAAAUAAACAAACCUAUUUCUUUCCAUUAACUUGCCAACAUGUAAAAAGGCUAGGAGACUUAUUUACUUUCAGGAAUCAAUUUAGGGGCAAUUCUUCUUGAUCUACUGCAACUUUUGAUUCUUCUAGUUUCUCUAACUGUAAAGCCAAUAAUGUCUGUUUUGUUUUCCUGGCCUUCAAAUUCCUUUGCAGUCACCUUCAGUGACAUGAACUGGAGAUAUUUCUACUAUUUGUUUGUUUUAGCAAAAAUAUUAUUCAUGAAAAGGAAAAGUAGAAGAUAUAAUAACAAGAAAUCAUUCAAUUUUCAUUAGAUUCUGCUCUGUAUGACAUGUGGAAAAAUGGAGAAAAUAUAGAAAAGUCAAUAGUAAAGGCUUUCAAGGCUGGACCUCCUGGAAAGUGUGGCUUGUAUUUUGUUUCUGAUUCUCCUCUUCCUGUUUUCUGUUCAACCCACUUCUUUUCAAGUUGUGGUAGCUACACUCCAGUGGCACUGCUUUUAGACGAGAGACAAACUUGGAACUCUUCCAAAAGACCCAAGUAAACAGAGAGGAAGUUUUGGAAGAUUGAAUCAGAGCCAGAAUAAACUAGGAUAUCUGUUUAAGAUGGAUAUUACAAAAGGAACUGAAAAAUGAUUCAGGGAGAUAUAUUUAGAUCUGGAAUCAGGAAAAGUUGUUUUAAUUAAACUUUUUAGAAUUAAGAUAUUAACUUGCAUCAGUAUUAAUUUACAUGAGAGACUAUUAAGGAUAUACAGAAAAGGUAUUUGACUAAUAACACCUUUUUUUCCUCCUUAGUAUCAAUGCCUAUGGUCAAUUAAGUGGGAAAAAAAUCAAACUAAUUUCAUGUAGUUGCUAAUAUAGUAAAAUAAAAUUUGUGUUUUAUAAAAUUAUAGUUGUUUUGGUUUUGCCCUUAAGAAUAGAUGAAAUAGAAACAAUUCUACUUUUUUUAAGUUUUCUUUCUUUAAAAAAUAUUUACUUAUUUUGAGAGAGAGAGAGAGAACACACACACAUGCACCAUUAGCAAUGAAAAAGAACGGGGCAGGGGCAGAGAGAGAGAUUGAGAGAGAGAGAGAGAGAGAGAGAAUUUCAAGCAGUCUCCAUGAACCAUGAGAUCAUGACCUGAGCCAAAAUCAAGAGAUGGACGCUUAACCAAUUGAGCCAACAAGGUGCCCCAAUUCUACUUCUUAGUAUAAUUUUAGAAAAUGCGGUACAAGUGCCCCUCUGCAUCAGCACUCCUGUAUCCCUUGGGUAAAUUCCUAGCAGUGCUAUUUCUGGGUCAUAGGGUAGAUCUUUUUUUAAGUUUUUGAGGAACCUCCACACUGUUUUCCAGAGUGGCUGCACCAGUUUGCAUUCCCACCAACAGGAAGACCAUGAAGGAGGGGAAGGAAAAAAAAAAAAAAAGGUUGGAGAGGGAGAGAGCCAAAGCAUAAGAGACUCUUAAAACUGAGAACAA
Acinonyx jubatus (cheetah) is the source of this 3276-nucleotide long non-coding RNA. RefSeq lists it as uncharacterized. The record is from RefSeq and is a predicted model, not a curated record. Lineage: Eukaryota; Metazoa; Chordata; Mammalia; Carnivora; Felidae. The transcript is spliced from 5 exons.